Molecule: long non-coding RNA, 1268 nt
Filed under: Eutrema salsugineum
Lineage: Eukaryota; Viridiplantae; Streptophyta; Magnoliopsida; Brassicales; Brassicaceae
Description: long non-coding RNA (ESAL_LNC000060)
Source: RNAcentral
CUACAUAAAAAUCCCUAAAUUUUCUCAUUCAAAACCACGAUUUCACGAUCUGUGAAACGAUUUCUACUUUCUAUAUCAUAAUCUCACGAAGAACUGUAAUUUUCAAUCUCAUCACGAUUUCAAACUGUUUCAUGUUUCCCUCUCUCUAUCUUCUUCUCCAUCAAUCUAUCUUUUGUUUCUCAUAUUGACCUUUAUUUUUUUGUUUCUAAUCUCUGUUUACGGUGCUCUAUUUUGCAUAAAUUUCUUAUGUGACAGAGAGAUAGUAUUCAAGUUUCUGUAAAUUUGGGUAAAGCACGAAGAAGAAAAGCAACUAGCAAGGGUUCAAGCUUUUUGACGGAUGGAGAACGGUAACAAAGUACUGAUCACGCAAACUUCGACAAAAAAAAAAACUUAUUGAAUUUUUGUUUUCUAACAGGACGCAUCAAAGAGAAAAAAGUUAUGGGACUCAUGGUAUAUAUACACACACGGGAGAUCCAGCAAUAAAAAGUUAGCGAGUUGGAGAACUUGAGGAAAGUAAUUAGUUGUACUUCCAAUUUCAAUCUUUGUGUGCUAUUCAAAUGCCUAAUUGAAAUAUCUGAUCAUGAGAAUAAGAAAUUUGACUGAUUGAAAGAUAUAUACAUAUUCAGAAUAUGUGAGUAGUUCUCAGUUUCAAAAUUGAUUUCCUUCUGUAAGUAAGUAUAUAGCUUAUAGAGCUUCUGAAAUCUGGUUUUUCAAAGAUCGAUGCAAAUUUCUAUUUCUAUAUAAGGUUUUGUAAAUUACAUGACUGUUUUGCAUUACACUCAUUUUUUAUUCACAAUUUGUGCAACGAUUACAGAAAUAUAAUUAGCUAGCUUCCUUUCUACUUUCUUAUAACUCUCUUCUCGCAUCUCAGCACAAUCAUCUAAUUAUGUUUAUCUCUUGAAGGUAGGAUGAUUAUCGGAACAACCAUUAUGACAUAAACAAUGGCGUGGAAAAGAGAAGACUAUUCUCCCGGCUGGCAAGUAAAACAAGGAUAACACCAGUAAAGAAUGACAUCUGUCUAUGAUGUAUCCUAGAUAACAAGCAAAAUAUCAAAAAAUGGCUAAUGGCAAGAUUCAUUCAUCUCUCUCAUGCAGCCAUACGUCUCUGUCUAUCUCAGUGGUUGGUUCUGCUCCCAACUUAAAAUUGUUUUUUGUGUUAAGGGUUUAUGAUGUAAUUAUUUCCCUAAAAUUCAGAUCUGUAAAACAGUUGGUAUAAAAUAGAAAGAAAGAUGUUUCAUGGAAAGAAGAUGAUUCAAUGUGUGUUUGAAG